UCUUAACCCCUUUACGUGCAAACAUCGCCGACGGCCCCAGUUUAUUAUUGUUUCACUUUCACAGCACGUUAAACAUCACUCUCUUACUUGAUCUGGACAAACUGUGCAUCAAUGGAAAGUUUAAAGACUCUAGCUUCGAUAUUUGACCAAUAUUUUGAUAAAACAUUGUUGCAGUGACAGUUAUUUAGUAAUUUAUGUCAGGAGUGCAAAAUAAUAAAUACUUAUUAUGCGACAUUUUGAAUAGAAAUUCACCACUCAUUCAUAUUCAGUCACGUCUGCAGCGGUUUGUUUGUGUUCACAUAGACUCACUGAACAGCGUCAAUAAGGAUUUAUAGACCAAAGAUGUAUAUCAGCGGAGAUAUAUGGAUAUAUUUACUUAUGUUUACUUAAUAUUUCUUCAGACAGAAUCAUCAUUUCUAUUUAUUUUCCACUGAUUUACGCGAUCUGAUGAUAAACAGCCUCUCCCAGCGAACUCUGUGUGUGUGUGUGCAGAGCUGGGAGCUCGUGUGUGUGUCAGUCAGACUCCGAUUGGUCCUUUUCUUUGUCAAUCUUAGAGUGUCAUAACCGGACACCGCCAUAUCGUGUCACAUGCUUCCUGUACACUUCCUGGUAGUUAUCUGGCCAAAACAACACUGAAACACCUCUGUACACACGAAAUAUCCGAAUAAUAAACACGCGAUUACCAUAGUAAAGCUUGGUAUGAGAUUUUCUGGAGAUCUGGGGCGUUUUUAUAAAAAAAAUUUAAAAUGUACAUCUGAAAUGCUAACUUGUGCAGCGAUGUAAAAGGCUAUAAAUAGCAUAUUUUUACAACAGUAAACGACCAAAUUCCACCCCUGAUCGCUAAAGGAAGUUAUUAUAAACACUCGAUCGGGGUUUAAAGUGAGUUUUGAGUAAAAGUGUACUAAUAAUUUCAUAAAUUGUCUGAUUAAGACUUUUGAUAAAUAAGGGCUAAAUGCAAACAGAGACAGAAGUGAGAUCGCUGCUUUGUGUCUUUGUAAAGCCUGAAAAACCACAAUAAAGGCUAAUAGAGGUGUAAUAAAAGCAAAAGAAUAAUGAUAAAAGAAUAA
This is a long non-coding RNA of Carassius carassius (crucian carp), 1067 nucleotides long. RefSeq lists it as uncharacterized. NCBI's taxonomy places the organism in Eukaryota, Metazoa, Chordata, Actinopteri, Cypriniformes, Cyprinidae. The transcript has 2 exons. The record is from RefSeq and is a predicted model, not a curated record.